UACGUAGGGCGCAAGCGUUUGUCCGGAAUUAUUGGGCGUAAAGAGCUCGUAGGCGGCCUGUUGCGUCCGCUGUGAAAUCCCGGGGCUCAACCCCGGGCGUGCAGUGGAUACGGGCUGGCUGGAGGCAGGCAGGGGAGAACGGAAUUCCUGGUGUAGCGGUGAAAUGCGCAGAUAUCAGGAGGAACACCGGUGGCGAAGGCGGUUCUCUGGGCCUGUACUGACGCUGAGGAGCGAAAGCGUGGGGAGCGAACAGG
RNAcentral lists this ribosomal RNA (254 nucleotides) under uncultured bacterium. Its description in RNAcentral is "partial 16S ribosomal RNA". It matches the Rfam family "Bacterial small subunit ribosomal RNA", at positions 524 to 776 of the family's 1533-position model. The record is from RNAcentral.